GAUGAACGCUGGCGGCGUGCCUAAUACAUGCAAGUCGAGCGAACAGACGAGGAGCUUGCUCCUCUGACGUUAGCGGCGGACGGGUGAGUAACACGUGGAUAACCUACCUAUAAGACUGGGAUAACUUCGGGAAACCGGAUCUAAUACCGGAUAAUAUAUUGAACCGCAUGGUUCAAUAGUGAAAGACGGUUUUGCUGUCUCUUAUAGAUGGAUCCGCGCCGCAUUAGCUAGUUGGUAAGGUAACGGCUUACCAAGGCAACGAUGCGUAGCCGACCUGAGAGGGUGAUCAGCCACACUGGAACUGAGACACGGUCCAGACUCCUACGGGAGGCAGCAGUAGGGAAUCUUCCGCAAUGGGCGAAAGCUUGACGGAGCAACGCCGCGUGAGUGAUGAAGGUCUUCGGAUCGUAAAACUCUGUUAUUAGGGAAGAACAAAUGUGUAAGUAACUAUGCACGUCUUGACGGUACCUAAUCAGAAAGCCACGGCUAACUACGUG
Molecule: ribosomal RNA, 497 nt
Filed under: uncultured bacterium
Lineage: Bacteria
Description: partial 16S ribosomal RNA
Rfam family: Bacterial small subunit ribosomal RNA
Source: RNAcentral